This 377-nucleotide ribosomal RNA is filed under the name uncultured Sphingobacteriales bacterium. RNAcentral's name for it is "bacterial SSU rRNA". It matches the Rfam family "Bacterial small subunit ribosomal RNA", at positions 1004 to 1382 of the family's 1533-position model. Lineage: Bacteria; Pseudomonadati; Bacteroidota; Sphingobacteriia; Sphingobacteriales. The record is from RNAcentral.
AAAGACUUACAUCUCUUCGGAGCAUUUUACGAGGUGCUGCAUGGUUGUCGUCAGCUCGUGCCGUGAGGUGUCGGGUUAAGUCCCAUAACGAGCGCAACCCCUACCUUACGUUGCCAUCAGGUUAAGCUGGGGACUCUAAAGGAACUGCCUACGCAAGUAGUGAGGAAGCGGGGAUGACGUCAAAUCAGCACGGCCCUUACGUCCAGGGCUACACACGUGCUACAAUGGCCGAUACAGAGGGCAGCUACCUGGUGACAGGAUGCAAAUCUCCAAAGUCGGUCUCAGUUCGGAUCGGAGUCUGCAACCCGACUCCGUGAAGUUGGAUUCGCUAGUAAUCGCGCAUCAGCCAUGGCGCGGUGAAUACGUUCCCGGGCCUU